UCCCGCCGGUUUUCUGCGUAAUGUAGCACGGCGGCCACGCCGCGGGGUGGAGCGCAUGUGGCGGUAUCCUUGCCGGAUGCGAAAGGAGGUGCCAGAAACUUUAAACCCCGGCCAGAAGACAACGUGUCCACUUAGACGGCGGACUCGUUUCACAAAGGCAGGAUUUUAGGGCUCUCCAGUGAGCAGGAGAGCAAGUUACUGUGUAUCUUGCCUUAGAAGAGGAGACCCAAUCAGCCCUGAAUCCAGCUGCAGUAAUGCCAUGAGAAGCCAAAACCACAUGGAGAGGCUGUGUGUAGCUGCCUCGGUUCAACACUCAGCUGACAGCCCACAUCAACUGCCAACCAUGUGAGAGAGCCGUUUUGGACGUGCAGCCCAUCUAGCCUUCAGAUGACUCCAGCCCCAACUGAUAUCCAACUGUGACCACGUGAGAAGCACCCAGCUGAGCCCAUUCAACCCGCAUAAGGUGAUACACAAAUGCUGAACAGCGAUGAGCUUCAUUGAGCGAGAGGAUGGGAGACCUGAUGCGGGUGUUUCCCUUAUGGAGGAGAGGCUCCAGUUACACGGGGGAAUGAUGCCGUGGACCAGGGGAGGGUCAAAACGCUUCCUACGCUCGGCGGACAGACCCGCGCUGGGUUGAUGGGGGCCUCCUGUGGAAUUCAGUUCUCGGCCAGAGAUUCCCUACCUUCGACCUGGGAAGAUAUGUGGGAGGCUCAGCAAACCUGGCGGCCGCUCUUUGGGUUUGGCAAACUCGAGAUUUUUCCAGUGCCUUGUGUUCAGCAAAACCAAAAAUGUGUUUGGCUAGAAACGCUUCUCUAAUUUUUAAACCCCUGUGCAUUUUUUACGUAAA
Molecule: long non-coding RNA, 847 nt
Organism: Eubalaena glacialis (North Atlantic right whale)
Lineage: Eukaryota; Metazoa; Chordata; Mammalia; Artiodactyla; Balaenidae
Exons: 4
Source: RefSeq, a predicted model, not a curated record